Molecule: ribosomal RNA, 463 nt
Filed under: uncultured bacterium
Lineage: Bacteria
Description: partial 16S ribosomal RNA
Rfam family: Bacterial small subunit ribosomal RNA
Source: RNAcentral
GAUGAACGCUGGCGGUAUGCUUUACACAUGCAAGUCAUACGGGAGUUAGUUUCGGCUAACUCCAGUGGCGGACGGGUGAGUAACACGUGAGAAUUCGCCUUUAGGAGGGGGAUAACAGGGGGAAACACCUGCUAAAACCCCAUAUGCCUUCGGGUCAAAAGAGUAAUCUGCCUAAAGAGAAGCUCGCGGCUGAUUAGCUAGUUGGUAGGGUAAAGGCCUACCAAGGCGACGAUCAGUAGCUGGUCUGAGAGGAUGAUCAGCCACACUGGAACUGAGACACGGUCCAGACUCCUACGGGAGGCAGCAGUGAGGAAUUUUCUGCAAUGGGCGAAAGCCUGACAGAGCAAUACCGCGUGAGGGAAGAAGGCUUACUGAGUUGUAAACCUCUGUUACCUAGGGAGGAAGAUCUGACGUUACCUAGGAGACGAAGCAUCGGCUAACUCCGUGCCAGCAGCCGCCGUAA